Branchiostoma belcheri (Belcher's lancelet) is the source of this 3363-nucleotide RNA transcript. It is a transcript of the gene named protein FAM65B-like, with no coding region annotated. The record is from RefSeq and is a predicted model, not a curated record. The transcript has 25 exons. Lineage: Eukaryota; Metazoa; Chordata; Leptocardii; Amphioxiformes; Branchiostomatidae.
UUAGUAUUGCACCUGUAAUAUCAGCGGUACCAUCAGUCCUGUCCGGGCACGCAAGAGGGAUGGUACUUCUCACGGGGCCCUCUGCAGUUUUCCACGAAUUUCUCUGAAUUUGACCCGGAUAUGAGCUUAUAUUGGACGCCAGGACCUAGAAUAGAUACGUAGGGUAGUUAGACGACGCAGUUAAAGAUGUCCCUGACGGAGCGCGUGACCAACAACCAUGGCCAGAAUGGGAACCCCGUCCAGCGGAGCCACUCAUUCGGCGGGUUCAAACAUGAGCAGAACCCCUUCAUGUCCCAACGGGUGUCCAGCUUCGGUAGCCCAGUUGCAGGUAUGAACAAGCGGACAGAAGCCAAGGUCUUCAACUUCAAGAGCCCCAGCCACCGGCGGCCCAAGGUGCCCCGGCCUAACAGAGUCAACGAGAUCUUCACAAGCUUGAAAAGAGGUUUAAGUGACUUGAUAGAAAGCCAGCGGACAGAACUUGCUGACCUGAAGGCUCACAAGGGGGACACCGACACACUGACAAGGAACAACUCCUGCACUGGGUUCUUCUAUGACUUAGAUAAGCAAACCAAAGCCACAGAGAGAUAUAUCAGAAGACUAGAAUAUCAUCACACAAAGGUAGAGGAACUUGCAGAAGCUUACAAUCUCCAUCAGAGACUCAGGGAAGGAGCCAGAAACAUGGUGAAUGCCUACAACAGGUCCAGACACUCGCAGUCCUUCAGCAGACACUCCCAGGAGAGCCUGUCAGAGGUCAAGUCUGGCUUCAAGGAGUGCUCACAGACAAUGUGUAUAAUAGAGGGUGAACUAGAGCAGAUGUUGGGUAGUUUCCAGAUGAGAAUAAAAGGUAUGGCAGGGUUUGCACGGCUGUGUCCAGGCGACGUGUACGACCUACUGGUGCGAUACGGGCCUCAGAAGUGGAGGUUACGUGGACGGGUAGAACGGGACCUGACGCAGGUCUGGGACAAUCAGGAGGUGGUGUUCCAACCUCUCAUAGCAGACAUGCUCAACUUUAAGGUGUCUGAAGUAAAGACGUUGGGGAGAUCGGUGGUGAUCGGUAACAUGACCUGUGAGACCAAAGGUUUCUACAACCCUGUCCCGCAGGUUCUAACUAUCAAUGUCAACGAUCCGGGAACCCUCAAGCUGCAGCUCAUUGUGAAAUGGAGCCCGUGUGAGAGGGAAACAGAAGACUGGUUUGGGUCGCUAACCAAGAAAGAAUCCACCCACAUCAGGAAGAGAUACUCCACAGCAGACUCUGUCCUCACAUCCUCAUCUUCAUCUGGGGGAUCCUACAACUCCCCCGACUCCAGCAUGUCUGCUUCUUACCCUAGAAGACUAAGGCCUUUGUUUGAGCCUCCAGCCAAAGUUGCUACCAAGAGUUAUUUCACUCAGGACACCGCACCUCAGGAGCCCACCUUAGAGGAAAUGGACACCUCGCCUGGCCCCCCUCCUGACACUGUAACCAACGGCAGCCUGGGGGCUCUUCCAACCACCACUGUCACCCCCACUGUCCACCUGGAGCAUGCCCUGCAUUGCCUAAGUAUAGCUCUAGAAGAUUACAGGGGGCAAUACCACGAAUUGCAAGAGCUGGAAGAGGAGUUGAUACAGUUGCAGCAAAGAUUAAAAAAGACCAAUGUGAGUAGAAGAAGCAGUGGGUCCAGUAUAAGUCUGUCAGUGGAGAGUGCUCUGGAGAGCUUCAACUUCCUCAACUUUGUUGGAGAGGAGAGUGACUUAGACAGCGAGCCAGACAGAGGGUUCACAUUCAGCACAUUCAAACCCGACUGGCCCCCACCCCCACCCACAGAGCCCCCACCCCCUCCCCCCACCACAAACGGACAACUCGACCCCUCCAAGGUCAUCCAGGAGAAGAAGUCGUCAGCCGCGUCCUUGAACGAGGAUAUCGGACUAGGUGCCAGCCAGAACUCCAGCCCGGUUCCCCUGACAACGGGAAUUGAGGCUGUAGAUGUAGCCCUUGUCCAUCACCUGCAGUACUGUCAACACCUGCUAGGGAACCUGGGUUCAUUUGGACCCCUGAGAUGUAGGGAGAUGUACUCACUAGACAAGCUGAAGAAGCAGGCAGCAAUCCUGUGGCAGCUCAGAGUACUGGUGGAGGAGGACAGGCAGCAGUGUGGCAUAGUGGAAGCCUGCCCAGUUCUGAAGGACCAGCCCAGACUAGUGGACUUCUGGAACUGUUGUUGUCAGGGCCAGGAGACAGUGUUAUACACCACCAUGGACAAACUGCACCAGCAGCUAGAGGUGGACAAUGUACGGCGCCUCAGAAUACAGUACACUGAUGUCUCUGACAGGGUUCUUCCUGAGCUGAUCCGGAGGAUGACCGAUGACUACAACCCACGUGAGGAGGGUUUGCUCACUGAGGACCAGCCUCACAUUCUCUCCAUCUACCAGUUUGCAGCUUAUGUAACCACGGCAGAAGUCGGCGACAUCGGCAGUCACGUGGACCUGCUCGCCAUAGAAUUGACAACCAUCCACACCCUGCAGUCUUCCAACCACGAGCAGACCAUCAAAGCAGUGAAGAAAAUCGGGAAAAGCGGAGUUCUCCCCAGCAAGGCCAUCCUACACACACUGGGGGGUCUGAUGCUGGACACCAACCCUAAACUCACCAGCGCUGCAUCCUCAUGUAUCAAUACCAUCUGUACCAAGAGUGGGGGAGCCAACAGGGAAAAGCAUGAUCAUGAAGAGAAUGAGCAGGGUGAAAUUGAGGAACUCGCCUUUGUUCUGUACCUGGAAUGUCUGGAGGAUAAAGACCCAAACAUCAGGAGUGCCGGAUGUGCUGCACUGGGUUGUAUGAAGGCCAGAGAAAGCAUGGACAGUCUGCUGUACUUAUGUCAGUCUGAUGUGGAUGAUGUGAAGCGAGCUGCUAGAGAUGCACUCUUAGCACUGGGUAAGUCCAUGUUUGUUUGGUAUUGAAGGAGAUUGAAUUCAGUUGGUCCACUUACACAUCCACUGAGUGGGUUACAGCUACAACAGUCUGCUAGACCCAGUAGUAUUUUUGGUAUCAAUUAUUAACAGAGAACUUUUCUGUAUAGUUUUGACUGAAUAAAUCUGUCUAUUGAAGUACAUUUUAUAAUGAGUAAUACAUAUAGUUGUACUUCAAGUAAUUUUACCGGUAGUGUAGUAGAGCAUGAACUUUAACUUCUUUGAUACAUUCAGCACAUUUAUCCAGUCAGUUCCAGUUACCAUUAACAGUUGGUUUGGUUUUGGAUAUACAGUUUCUAUUACUCCAUCCAUAGUUUCUUUCCUUAUUAGUGAUCUCUAUAUACGACAUACGACAAGUCUUGUUUCUUUCUCAUGCUGCCUGAAACAGCUAGUACCUGAACUCACUCUCCAUUCUUCCUUUCCCUCAUG